This 492-nucleotide ribosomal RNA is filed under the name uncultured bacterium. RNAcentral describes it as "partial 16S ribosomal RNA". It matches the Rfam family "Bacterial small subunit ribosomal RNA", at positions 30 to 507 of the family's 1533-position model. The record is from RNAcentral.
AUUGAACGCUGGCGGCAUGCUUUACACAUGCAAGUCGAACGGUAACAGGCCUUCGGGUGCUGACGAGUGGCGAACGGGUGAGUAAUGCAUCGGAACGUGCCCAGAGGUGGGGGAUAACGCAGCGAAAGCUGUGCUAAUACCGCAUGUGAUCUGAGGAUGAGAGCGGGGGACCAGGCAGCAAUGUUUGGCCUCGCGCCUUUGGAGCGGCCGAUGUCCGAUUAGGUAGUUGGUGGGGUAAAGGCCUACCAAGCCGACGAUCUGUAGCUGGUCUGAGAGGACGACCAGCCACACUGGGACUGAGACACGGCCCAGACUCCUACGGGAGGCAGCAGUGGGGAAUUUUGGACAAUGGGCGCAAGCCUGAUCCAGCAAUGCCGCGUGCGGGAAGAAGGCCUUCGGGUUGUAAACCGCUUUUGUACGGAACGAAAAGGCUCUGGCUAAUACCUGGGGCUGAUGACGGUACCGUAAGAAUAAGCACCGGCUAACUACGUG